UUAAUUGAAACCAAAAUAGAGGUAUAUCACUGUUAAUGAUAAAAUUGGGUAAAUCCCCAAUUAAA
Molecule: transfer RNA, 65 nt
Filed under: Pseudocolaspis sp. EMHAU-15071004
Lineage: Eukaryota; Metazoa; Arthropoda; Insecta; Coleoptera; Chrysomelidae
Description: tRNA-Asn
Source: RNAcentral